This 429-nucleotide ribosomal RNA is filed under the name bacterium. RNAcentral describes it as "partial 16S ribosomal RNA". It matches the Rfam family "Bacterial small subunit ribosomal RNA", at positions 355 to 776 of the family's 1533-position model. The record is from RNAcentral.
UAGGGAAUCUUCGGCAAUGGGGGCAACCCUGACCGAGCAACGCCGCGUGAGUGAAGAAGGUUUUCGGAUCGUAAAGCUCUGUUGUAAGAGAAGAACGUGUGUGAGAGUGGAAAGUUCACACAGUGACGGUAACUUACCAGAAAGGGACGGCUAACUACGUGCCAGCAGCCGCGGUAAUACGUAGGUCCCGAGCGUUGUCCGGAUUUAUUGGGCGUAAAGCGAGCGCAGGCGGUUUAAUAAGUCUGAAGUUAAAGGCAGUGGCUUAACCAUUGUUCGCUUUGGAAACUGUUAAACUUGAGUGCAGAAGGGGAGAGUGGAAUUCCAUGUUUAGCGGUGAAAUGCGUAGAUAUAUGGAGGAACACCGGUGGCGAAAGCGGCUCUCUGGUCUGUAACUGACGCUGAGGCUCGAAAGCGUGGGGAGCAAACAGG